AUGGCACCUUUACAGAGCGCUUGGUUGCCCUGGUUACUACCAACGGGGAAGACACGAGGUCCCACGAUCACCUUUUCGCCGGUUUUGUCUAGUCUAGACUGGUCGAGAUGGAGAAAAAUCAUACAGCCAUUUCGAUUGGACCCAUUACAAAUGUAUGGAUUUAGCUGCCGGCGUCCUCCGGGAGACAGACAGCAAGGGCUGCCUUUCCUACUUCCACUUGUCAGUUCAUUCUCUGGAAGGGACUCUCACAACGUAUUUGCUGAGUAUUAGGUCUGCAGCUGUGUGCACCGACUGUUCCUUGAUUCUCUUCCUUAUCUUGUGCCACUCUUUGCCAGCUAAAAAAUAAAUUAGCCUGCUCACUAUUGCCUACCUUAAUC
RNAcentral lists this long non-coding RNA (377 nucleotides) under Monodelphis domestica (gray short-tailed opossum). RNAcentral describes it as "lncRNA (ENSMODG00000035630.2)". Lineage: Eukaryota; Metazoa; Chordata; Mammalia; Didelphimorphia; Didelphidae. The record is from RNAcentral.